GACGAACGCUGGCGGCGUGCCUAAUACAUGCAAGUAGAACGCUGAAGAGAGGAGCUUACUCUUCUUGGAUGAGUUGCGAACGGGUGAGUAACGCGUAGGUAACCUGCCUUGUAGCGGGGGAUAACUAUUGGAAACGAUAGCUAAUACCGCAUAACAAUGGAUGACACAUGUCAUUUAUUUGAAAGGGGCAAUUGCUCCACUACAAGAUGGACCUGCGUUGUAUUAGCUAGUAGGUGAGGUAAUGGCUCACCUAGGCGACGAUACAUAGCCGACCUGAGAGGGUGAUCGGCCACACUGGGACUGAGACACGGCCCAGACUCCUACGGGAGGCAGCAGUAGGGAAUCUUCGGCAAUGGGGGCAACCCUGACCGAGCAACGCCGCGUGAGUGAAGAAGGGUUUCGGAUCGUAAAGCUCUGAUGUAAGUCAAGAACGGGUGUGAGAGUGGAAAGUUCACACUGUGACGGUAGCUUACCAGAAGGGGACGGCUAACUACGUG
Molecule: ribosomal RNA, 497 nt
Filed under: uncultured bacterium
Lineage: Bacteria
Description: partial 16S ribosomal RNA
Rfam family: Bacterial small subunit ribosomal RNA
Source: RNAcentral